Molecule: ribosomal RNA, 389 nt
Filed under: uncultured bacterium
Lineage: Bacteria
Description: bacterial SSU rRNA
Rfam family: Bacterial small subunit ribosomal RNA
Source: RNAcentral
GACGAACGCUGGCGGCGUGCUUAACACAUGCAAGUCGAGCGGUAAGGCCCUUUCGGGGGUACGACGAGCGGCGAACGGGUGAGUAACACGUGGGUGACCUGCCCUCAGCUCUGGGAUAAGCCCGGGAAACUGGGUCUAAUACUGGAUAUGACUCCAUGACGCAUGUUGUGGGGUGGAAAGCCUUGUGCGGCUGGGGAUGGGCCCGCGGCCUAUCAGCUUGUUGGUGGGGUGAUGGCCUACCAAGGCGACGACGGGUAGCCGGCCUGAGAGGGCGACCGGCCACACUGGGACUGAGACACGGCCCAGACUCCUACGGGAGGCAGCAGUGGGGAAUCUUGCGCAAUGGGCGAAAGCCUGACGCAGCGACGCCGCGUGAGGGAUGACGGCCU